RNAcentral lists this ribosomal RNA (294 nucleotides) under uncultured bacterium. RNAcentral describes it as "partial 16S ribosomal RNA". It matches the Rfam family "Bacterial small subunit ribosomal RNA", at positions 775 to 1067 of the family's 1533-position model. The record is from RNAcentral.
GGAUUAGAUACCCUGGUAGUCCACGCCGUAAACGAUGAAUGCUACCUGUGUGGGGUCUCGACCCCCUGCGUGGGUUAGUUAACACGAUAAGCAUUCCGCCUGGGGAGUACGAACGCAAGUUUAAAACUCAAAGGAAUUGACGGGGACCCGCACAAGCAGUGGAGCAUGUGGUUUAAUUCGAUGCUAAGCGAAGAACCUUACCGAGGCUUGACAUCCUAGGAAUCUCGGCGAAAGCCAAGAGUGCCUUCGGGAGCCUAGUGACAGGUGCUGCAUGGCCGUCGUCAGCUCGUGCCG